AUUGAACGCUGGCGGCAUGCCUUACACAUGCAAGUCGAACGGCAGCACGGGUGCUUGCACCUGGUGGCGAGUGGCGAUCGGGUGAGUAAUACAUCGGAACAUGUCCUGUAGUGGGGGAUAGCCCGGCGAAAGCCGGAUUAAUACCGCAUACGAUCUACGGAUGAAAGCGGGGGACCUUCGGGCCUCGCGCUAUAGGGUUGGCCGAUGGCUGAUUAGCUAGUUGGUGGGGUAAAGGCCUACCAAGGCGACGAUCAGUAGCUGGUCUGAGAGGACGACCAGCCACACUUGGACUGAGACACGGCCCAGACUCCUACGGGAGGCAGCAGUGGGGAAUUUUGGACAAUGGGCGAAAGCCUGAUCCAGCAAUGCCGCGUGUGUGAAGAAGGCCUUCGGGUUGUAAAGCACUUUUGUCCGGAAAGAAAUCCUUGGCUCUAAUACAGUCGGGGGAUGACGGUACCGGAAGAAUAAGCACCGGCUAACUACGUG
RNAcentral lists this ribosomal RNA (486 nucleotides) under uncultured bacterium. RNAcentral's name for it is "partial 16S ribosomal RNA". It matches the Rfam family "Bacterial small subunit ribosomal RNA", at positions 30 to 507 of the family's 1533-position model. The record is from RNAcentral.